RNAcentral lists this ribosomal RNA (253 nucleotides) under uncultured bacterium. RNAcentral describes it as "partial 16S ribosomal RNA". It matches the Rfam family "Bacterial small subunit ribosomal RNA", at positions 524 to 776 of the family's 1533-position model. The record is from RNAcentral.
UCCAGAGGUGGCAAGCGUUGUUCGGAAUUACUGGGCGUAAAGGGCGCGUAGGCGGCCUUCUAAGUCAGACGUGAAAUCCCCCGGCUUAACCUGGGAACUGCGUCUGAUACUGGAGGGCUUGAGUGCGGGAGAGGGAUGUGGAAUUCCAGGUGUAGCGGUGAAAUGCGUAGAUAUCUGGAGGAACACCGGUGGCGAAGGCGGCAUCCUGGACCGACACUGACGCUGAGGCGCGAAAGCGUGGGGAGCAAACAGG